UUAGUGGAAGUCAAAUGAUAAAGUGAAUGCAAUAUCGUUUUUAUUAAAUUAAACAAAACCAGCAUUGUUCAGGAAGUUAAUAAUAUGUAGUAAGAUUAUUAAAUAACUUACAAAAUUGUCAAUUGUCAGCAGUUAAAUAGUAUACAACCUUACGACAUUUGGACGAUAUUUAUCUAAAAUGAUAUGCCAUGCGUCGAGUCAUCGAGCAUCAACAAUAUAAUUAUUCGUUAUGCUGAAAAUUUAGGCGGGAAUUUCCGGUUUCGGUCGUUUC
Paramuricea clavata is the source of this 271-nucleotide non-coding RNA. The record is from the annotation of a GenBank genome assembly. Lineage: Eukaryota; Metazoa; Cnidaria; Anthozoa; Malacalcyonacea; Plexauridae.